This 301-nucleotide ribosomal RNA is filed under the name uncultured bacterium. RNAcentral's name for it is "partial 16S ribosomal RNA". It matches the Rfam family "Bacterial small subunit ribosomal RNA", at positions 509 to 807 of the family's 1533-position model. The record is from RNAcentral.
CAGUCGCCACGGUAAUACGGAGGGUGCAAGCGUUAAUCGGAAUUACUGGGCGUAGAGCGCACGCAGGCGGUUUGUUAAGUCAGAUGUGAAAUCCCCGAGCUUAACUUGGGAACUGCAUUUGAAACUGGCAAGCUAGAGUCUUGUAGAGGGGGGUAGAAGUCCAGGUGUAGCGGUGAAAUGCGUAGAGAUCUGGAGGAAUACCGGUGGCGAAGGCGGCCCCCUGGACAAAGACUGACGCUCAGGUGCGAAAGCGUGGGGAGCAAACAGGAUUAGAUACCCGCGUAGUCCCUGUCUCUUAUAC